This 255-nucleotide ribosomal RNA is filed under the name uncultured bacterium. RNAcentral describes it as "partial 16S ribosomal RNA". It matches the Rfam family "Bacterial small subunit ribosomal RNA", at positions 524 to 776 of the family's 1533-position model. The record is from RNAcentral.
GACGUAUAGAGCCAGUGUUAUUUUUCGUAAUUUGGCGUAAAGGGUGCGUAGGCGGUAAGUUAAACAUGAGUGAGUGAGACAUAGGUAUAACUGUGGCAGCUAUCAAUGAACUGACAAACUGGAAUUAAUAAGAAGUAAGCGGUAUUUGUGGGGGUUACAGGUGAAAAAGGUAGAUCCCAUAGGGACGAUCAAAGGCAGAGGCAGCUUACUAUUAAAAAUUGACGCUGAGGCACGAAGGCAUGGGUAUCAAAUGGG